This 89-nucleotide transfer RNA is filed under the name Danio rerio (zebrafish). It matches the Rfam family "tRNA". Rfam says of the family: Transfer RNA (tRNA) molecules are approximately 80 nucleotides in length. Their secondary structure includes four short double-helical elements and three loops (D, anti-codon, and T loops). The record is from Rfam by way of RNAcentral. Lineage: Eukaryota; Metazoa; Chordata; Actinopteri; Cypriniformes; Danionidae.
GGCUCUGUGGCGCAAUGGAUAGCGCAUUGGACUUCUAGGCUGUGAGCUGAGCCAUUCAAAGGUUGUAGGUUCAAGUCCCAUCUGAGUCA